Non-coding RNA from Spea bombifrons (plains spadefoot toad), 845 nucleotides. The record is from the annotation of a RefSeq genome assembly. Lineage: Eukaryota; Metazoa; Chordata; Amphibia; Anura; Pelobatidae.
UUAGGAAGCCCGGUGUAGCCUGGAAGUCUAGGUUUAGGUAUAAGCGAGUGUGACUGUGUUCCGGUUACGCUCUCACGUUCGGAUCGGGGACUCUGGUCUCUGUAAUGGAAAAAGGUCGUGAAAAAAGGAAUCCCAACGUGACGAUCUACCUCCCAAAUCCGCAGGAACUCUUAGAACACAAGCGCGUCUCGCUGGUCUGCGUCGCUAGUAAUUUCUACCCAGAACAGGCGUUCAUCCGAUGGAAGGUGAACGGGAAGGAGAGGGAGUUUAUUGACCAAGCCAAGCCCAUUGCUGUAUCGGAUACCUUUUCAGUCAGUCGGCGGCUCAGCCUGACCAAGGAGGAAUAUUACAACCCCGAGAACACCUUCCGCUGCGAAUCCGGCUUCCAGGACGAGGAGAAUAAAGUGAUAUCCAAGGAGAUACGGGGGAGAACGGGUUGUAACGACUUUAAUGACAAAUACAGAAGGUUUGCAAAUAACGGCAAAUAUUCCUACACCCUGAUCCUGUGUAAGAGCGCGCUCUACGGAUUCAUAGUCGCUGCCGUGAUGUUAAGGAAGAAGAUGAUCAGAUCUUCUUACUGAACCCAUCACAGGACAUCGACCUGACGCAAGGAAACCUCUCGGCUCCUACAUACGCCAAACCCGACUUCCCGCCGAGCUGAACAGGCGCCGUGACCCCCGUGAAUGACGUCAAAGUCAGUACGCUUCAAGACAUAAUACUGCGAGAAAAGCCGCACGUCAAGGACGGAAGAGCGACUUUUUAAUAUUUAUGACCGCAUUCGCUUCGAUUCUCCAUGUCGAUUGGUUGCUUACUAGCCAAUAAAAUUACAUCGAAAAAAAAAACCC